This 411-nucleotide ribosomal RNA is filed under the name Bemisia tabaci. RNAcentral describes it as "partial 16S ribosomal RNA". The record is from RNAcentral. Lineage: Eukaryota; Metazoa; Arthropoda; Insecta; Hemiptera; Aleyrodidae.
UUUUAGAUAAAUUCUGCUCAAUGACAAAUUUAAAUAGCUGCAGUAAAUUAACUGUACUAAGGUAGCAUAAUAAGUUGCUUUAUAAUUAAAAGCUUGAAUGAAAGAAACAAUGUGAAACAGACUUUUUAGACUAAGAAAGUAAAAAUUAAUAUUUAAGUAAAAAAUCUUAAAUUAAAUCAAAAGACAAGAAGACCCUUUAGAAUUUUACAAGUUAAAUUAUAUUAAUUAAAUUGACUUAUUAAGUUGGGGAGAUUUUUAAAUAGAUAAAUCUUUAAAUAUAAAAAAAUGAACUAUCUCAAAUUAAAUUAUCCAAAUAAGAAUUAAAACAAGUUACCUAAGGGAUAACAGCGCAAAAUUUUUGAGAAGCUCCCAUUCACAAAAUAAAUUGCGACCUCGAUGUUGGAUUAAGAA